GGCUGAGGAAGAACAAAGACGGAAUUUAGAAGAGCCUUUCCACAGGCUGAGAUGAAGACCUCAAAGGAAAGAGGUAUCUGGUAUAGAAUGCACAGUCCAGCUUUCUGGAGAGCAUCCAGACCACGCGAUACUAGAGCAGCCUGCUCCCAAAUCAAAGGAAAGCUUGUUGGAGGGCGAAGGCUGCAGCUGAGCCAUGAGGAUUCAGAGUGGGUAGCCAUUCUAGCUUUGAUCUGGAAGUUCCAACCCCCAUUGAGGCUUCGGUAACUGUCAUGCCUACAAGGCGGGCUGAGAGAGGACCCUGAAGACGCAAGAUCCAGAUGCACUGGCUCUCUUGGUUCCUGGACCCUGGACGCUGGAGAUAGACUGAGCAGAGUUCUCCAGAGAACACUGCCGGACUGUGCUACACCUUUCCCAGACCCUGUUACCUAUCUCUUCACUUGUGAGUUAACCCACAAAAUAAAUCUCCCUUUUAACUA
Peromyscus californicus insignis is the source of this 476-nucleotide long non-coding RNA. RefSeq lists it as uncharacterized. The record is from RefSeq and is a predicted model, not a curated record. Lineage: Eukaryota; Metazoa; Chordata; Mammalia; Rodentia; Cricetidae. The transcript has 2 exons.